UGAUAGCUGUGAAGCGUGAGGUUGCUGCCCGGGAGUGAUCCCCUGCAGGUUUUUACGCGGAGCGAAUGUCAAGUUACAAUACUGACGACAA
This 91-nucleotide non-coding RNA is filed under the name bovine gut metagenome. RNAcentral's name for it is "S10-Clostridia ribosomal protein leader". It matches the Rfam family "S10-Clostridia ribosomal protein leader". The record is from RNAcentral.